UUCAGUGUAUAGAGCAUUUACCGAAAAACUCAAUAUUUUUGUAGGAGUUAAUAUAUAGAUUUUGAGAAAAAUUCCAAAUCAUGACAAUUAUGUUUUAAUGCAUAUUUGCAUCUUUCACUAACAUAUGAUAAAGGUCAAAGAGAUUUGGAAACUUUGUUAUCUUCGUUUCUCUAGAGAAUAGCGAUUUUAUAGUGGUUAGUCCACCAAUUUAUAGAGUGUUAUAAAGUUUUACUAAAUUAAUUGAUAAAAAGUUUAAACGAUGCCUAUGUACCAUGAAAGAGAGUUUAAUAUACAUUAAUAAAAAUGUAGAAUGUGUUUAAAAUUUUUUUUUUUUUUUUUUUUUUUUUUGACUCAAACUUCAACUUUCAUUCACCACCACUGUUUUCAUACAUUGUUUUAUCAGACAUAACCUGAAAUUUCAACCAGAUAGGCACAACAGAAUAUAACUUAGGGACAAUAGACACAAAAGUGUAAGUCUCCUUUGCUAUCCUGUCUGCAACCUUAUUCCCUCCUCUUGGGUAAAAACACACCUGAAAGAACUGAACUUGUGACAAUAAUCUGCGAGUCUCCUCCACUAUAGGCUGCAGUAUCGGCCACACUUCCUCUUGGCCACUUAUCAUCCUCACUAAAGUUUGGGAAUCUGAUUCAAAAAUAACAUACUUGUAGCCAAGAGAAACUAUGUUCUGUACUGCCCAUUUAAGAGCUUCCGCUUCUGUGACGAUGGUGGAGACUGCUCUUGUCACCGCUUUUGCCCCAGCCCACAACACAUUACCCUUUUCAUUUCUUAAGACCCACCCCAACCCACUGUUAACUCUAUUGUGGUUCCGUGCUCCAUCGCUGUUGCAUUUCAGCCAGUUGGCG
This 861-nucleotide long non-coding RNA is filed under the name Brassica rapa (field mustard). RNAcentral's name for it is "long non-coding RNA (BRAP_LNC004880)". The record is from RNAcentral. Lineage: Eukaryota; Viridiplantae; Streptophyta; Magnoliopsida; Brassicales; Brassicaceae.